AGGGCACCAGUCACGUGCAGCAGUUGUAAUUAACUGGUGAAAUUAAUGACUGUCAUCUCUUAGCCGGUGACGCGGGCAGAGGAGGACGCUCCCUGCACAAGCUGUGCGUCUGGCGAGGGAAUUCUCUGCCCCGCUGUGCCAAGAACGUGUGCGUCAGAUUCUCAUGCGAACUUCCUAUGUCUAUAUAAGAGGGAGUAGGAAGCUCACACCUCGCACCUCGCAUCCCCAGCAGCAGAAGUACCAGAAGCAAGAGGAGAAGUAGGGACGGCGUGUUGUGAGCGAGGAUGCAUAUCUGACGCAACUUAGCAUUACCAGAGCGUGGCAGCACAUUAGGCAAGGCGCGCUGCUCGCCUAAGACAAACACGAGGAAGAUCCUAACACCCGCCUCGCCCAGUUCUCGCAGAGUAGGGCAAGAUAACAACGCUUAACAACCUCCCAGCACAAAAGCCGUGUUUCCCAGCGGCUUCUCUCGCUACGGCGCUCUCGACUCUGCCUGGGCCUUCCUGGAAAGGACCAUAAUGCCCGCCGCCCAUUGUCCGUCCAGUCCCGGGAAAUGACUGAUGAGAGAUGAAGAGACGUCACAGAGGAAAGAAAGAACUUGGGUAGUAUGUCAGACCGAUGGAAGAAGAGAAGAAAAAGAAGAGAAAGAAUAAUAAUAACAAGAAAAGAAAGAAAUGUGCGGGACCAGAAGCAGGAAGAAGUGCAAUAAUCAUAAGAAAAAAGAAAAACGAGGAAGGAGGAGGAGGAGGAAGAAAAGGAGCAGGAAGAGGAGGAUGAGAUGACGUCCAGGUGUAGCACAUUAUUAAUAACGUAAAUUACAGGUGUGAGGGAAGGAAGCAGGAGGCAGGGCGCUGGAUGGAGGAGGGAGCACUGCCGGUCACGAGGCGGAAGACGAAAUGAGACGCACGAAGCAGUUUGGUGAAUGCGAAUGCAGUGAAAUGUAGAAAAAAAAAAAAAAAGUGAGGUGUGUCAGAAUAUUGUGGUGCGUGCGGGGAGCGAGGAAAAUACGGAGGGUGCAAGACACGUUGGAAAGGAGGUGGACAGGAGGAAUAAUUAGAAAAAGUAAAAAAAAAUAAUAAUAAUAGCAUGACUUGUCAAAUAAGACGUGUCAAAGAACAGAAAAAAAAUGCAUCUCCACGCAGUAAACACCUUGAAAUAAUAAGGAAAAUGACUUUAUAACAAAAAAUUAAGACCUUCAUACUGCAAAAACUCACAAAAGCUUAUAUCAAACGAAGUAAUCACACAAACCAACACUGGAAUUAUGUACAACUCUAUGAUUACUGGACAAGAGUAGUGACGUAAACACUGCGGUAGAUGACCUGAAAAGGAGGAGGUGGGGAUGGGGGAGUAGGAGAUGGAGGAAGGAAGGAAGGAAGGAGGGAAAAACAGCCGCCAGUGAUUGGUAGUGAUUGUAAAUAAACAACAAGUGAUGUGUUUCGGCGGGCAGCGUUGACAGGGUGUGAGGUGGUGAUCGGUAGAGGCAGGCAGCCAGUCAACGCCGCCAAACAUGCAACAGUAAACACAGACAGAGAGAGAGAGAGAGAGAGAGAGAGAGAGAGAGAGAGAGAGAGAGAGAGAGAGAGAUGUGUAUGAUUUUAAUUUGAAAUGAGUCUUUUUAGUUCAGCCUUUCACUUAAAAUGAAUUUCCUGAGUAAUAUAAAUUUCAAUGGCAUGUUUGUGAGUUUUUUUACAGUCAAAGAACAGGAAGAGGGAACAGCCCGAGUUAAAACCUGAUGCGAUCUUAUGUUAGAAUAGAAUUGACCUUUAAACACAGAGAGACGUGACAUAACUAACAGCUGUGUAGCAUUGAAUGAGAACUUGCAUUAGUCAAGCCAAACCUUAACGCGUACAGACACUUUAGGCCAGAAGACUUAUGUGGCCUCGUGAUACAGACAGAAGCACAGACACGACCUUCUACGAACAGACAGUGACUUUAGGGUACAAAAUGAGAUGCGUCCGUCACGCCAACACGACCACUGACAUUUUGGGUCUAUACAUGUGGCUCCGUGUAUACCAUAUGGAGGCGGCAGUGACAGGAGGGUGUGGUAGAAGAACGUGCGCUGU
Scylla paramamosain (green mud crab) is the source of this 2063-nucleotide long non-coding RNA. RefSeq lists it as uncharacterized. Lineage: Eukaryota; Metazoa; Arthropoda; Malacostraca; Decapoda; Portunidae. The record is from RefSeq and is a predicted model, not a curated record. The transcript is spliced from 7 exons.